Molecule: long non-coding RNA, 231 nt
Filed under: Phoenix dactylifera (date palm)
Lineage: Eukaryota; Viridiplantae; Streptophyta; Magnoliopsida; Arecales; Arecaceae
Description: long non-coding RNA (PDAC_LNC011937)
Source: RNAcentral
CGUAAGACCUCGGCCGAGGCAGAUUGCACAGUGGAGAAAGAGUUCUCCGCUCUCGAACUUAAGUCGAAUAAAUCUUGACAUAUGACAGACGAAGGGGUUUGACGAGUUAUCCAUGACCUCCAUCUUGUAGGGAUCCACGAUAGAAGGACUGUAUCACAUGAUAACUGCACCUAAAGGUUCAUCAUUCUAUUCUGCUGGGUAGCCACUACAUGCUGCUAGGUGUCACUGGUG